CGGCGUGCCUAAUACAUGCAAGUCGAACGAACUCUGGUAUUGAUUGGUGCUUGCAUCAUGAUUUACAUUUGAGUGAGUGGCGAACUGGUGAGUAACACGUGGGAAACCUGCCCAGAAGCGGGGGAUAACACCUGGAAACAGAUGCUAAUACCGCAUAACAACUUGGACCGCAUGGUCCGAGUUUGAAAGAUGGCUUCGGCUAUCACUUUUGGAUGGUCCCGCGGCGUAUUAGCUAGAUGGUGGGGUAACGGCUCACCAUGGCAAUGAUACGUAGCCGACCUGAGAGGGUAAUCGGCCACAUUGGGACUGAGACACGGCCCAAACUCCUACGGGAGGCAGCAGUAGGGAAUCUUCCACAAUGGACGAAAGUCUGAUGGAGCAACGCCGCGUGAGUGAAGAAGGGUUUCGGCUCGUAAAACUCUGUUGUUAAAGAAGAACAUAUCUGAGAGUAACUGUUCAGGUAUUGACGGUAUUUAACCAGAAAGCCACGGCUAACUACGUGCCAGCAGCCGCGGUAAUACGUAGGUGGCAAGCGUUGUCCGGAUUUAUUGGGCGUAAAGCGAGCGCAGGCGGUUUUUUAAGUCUGAUGUGAAAGCCUUCGGCUCAACCGAAGAAGUGCAUCGGAAACUGGGAAACUUGAGUGCAGAAGAGGACAGUGGAACUCCAUGUGUAGCGGUGAAAUGCGUAGAUAUAUGGAAGAACACCAGUGGCGAAGGCGGCUGUCUGGUCUGUAACUGACGCUGAGGCUCGAAAGUAUGGGUAGCAAACAGGAUUAGAUACCCUGGUAGUCCAUACCGUAAACGAUGAAUGCUAAGUGUUGGAGGGUUUCCGCCCUUCAGUGCUGCAGCUAACGCAUUAAGCAUUCCGCCUGGGGAGUACGGCCGCAAGGCUGAAACUCAAAGGAAUUGACGGGGGCCCGCACAAGCGGUGGAGCAUGUGGUUUAAUUCGAAGCUACGCGAAGAACCUUACCAGGUCUUGACAUACUAUGCAAAUCUAAGAGAUUAGACGUUCCCUUCGGGGACAUGGAUACAGGUGGUGCAUGGUUGUCGUCAGCUCGUGUCGUGAGAUGUUGGGUUAAGUCCCGCAACGAGCGCAACCCUUAUUAUCAGUUGCCAGCAUUAAGUUGGGCACUCUGGUGAGACUGCCGGUGACAAACCGGAGGAAGGUGGGGAUGACGUCAAAUCAUCAUGCCCCUUAUGACCUGGGCUACACACGUGCUACAAUGGAUGGUACAACGAGUUGCGAACUCGCGAGAGUAAGCUAAUCUCUUAAAGCCAUUCUCAGUUCGGAUUGUAGGCUGCAACUCGCCUACAUGAAGUCGGAAUCGCUAGUAAUCGCGGAUCAGCAUGCCGCGGUGAAUACGUUCCCGGGCCUUGUACACACCGCCCGUCACACCAUGAGAGUUUGUAACACCCAAAGUCGGUGGGGUAACCUUUUAGGAACCAGCCGCCUAAGGUGGGACAGAUGA
This 1469-nucleotide ribosomal RNA is filed under the name Lactiplantibacillus plantarum. RNAcentral describes it as "bacterial SSU rRNA". It matches the Rfam family "Bacterial small subunit ribosomal RNA". Lineage: Bacteria; Bacillati; Bacillota; Bacilli; Lactobacillales; Lactobacillaceae. The record is from RNAcentral.